Molecule: ribosomal RNA, 479 nt
Filed under: uncultured bacterium
Lineage: Bacteria
Description: partial 16S ribosomal RNA
Rfam family: Bacterial small subunit ribosomal RNA
Source: RNAcentral
GCCUAACACAUGCAAGUCGAACGGAACUUCUUCGACAGAAUUCUUCGGAAGGAAGUUGAUUAAGUUUAAUGGCGGACGGGUGAGUAACGCGUGAGUAACCUGCCUUUGAGAGGGGAAUAACUUCCCGAAAGGGAUGCUAAAACCGCAUGACGCAUAUUUAUCGCAUGGUAGAUAUGCCAAAGAUUUAUCGCUGAAAGAUGGACUCGCGUCCGAUUAGCCAGUUGGCGGGGUAACGGCCCACCAACGAGACGAUCGGUCACCGAACUGAGAGGUUGAACGGCCACAUCGUGGCUGAGACACGGCCCAGACUCCUACGGGAGGCAGCAGUGGGGGAUAUUGCGCAAUGGGGGAAACCCUGACGCAGCAACGCCGCGUGAAGGAUGAAGGUUUUCGGAUUGUAAACUUCUUUUAUUUAGGACUCACAAUGACGGUACUAAAUGAAUAAGCUCCGGCUAACUACGUGCCAGCCGCCGCUGUAA